RNAcentral lists this long non-coding RNA (1419 nucleotides) under Nicotiana benthamiana. RNAcentral's name for it is "long non-coding RNA (NBEN_LNC010693)". The record is from RNAcentral. Lineage: Eukaryota; Viridiplantae; Streptophyta; Magnoliopsida; Solanales; Solanaceae.
AGAGUAGCUUCUGAUUAUUGCAUGAAUUUUCUAACUUUUCGUAGAAUUUGGUUUUUCAUUAAUUUACCAAACGAACACUAACUAAACGUAUGGUACAAUUUAUCAUACACACGCACGCCCAUGCACACAUGACACAUAUAUUGCAAAAUCUGCUGUUCGGUUAUUUCCGCCGCCAAAGUUUAUGGCGCAGACGUAAUUGUAAUUUUUUUGUUGAAGAACUACCAAAGAAUGGACGAGUUCGGAUUCACUUUUACCAAUUCACCUAAUCUAAACCGUGUAACAUUUGCUCACUUACCCUAUGUAUAAGGAAAUUUAGUAAAUAUUUAUAAAUAUUUGAGUGCGAACUCAAUUAUUAAAAAACUCUAUAAACUUUAAAUUCUAAAUUUGUUUUUUCGAUGUGCUUAAAAUUAAAGACCAGCUGUCCAUUGCGUCGGUAUCCCCCUUGACAUGCACAACUCGAUCCAUUGUGUGCAUGCAAAUGAAUACGUCGCCCCUAGGGUUAAGGGUGGAAUGGAAACUUGGCUAGGGAAAAUAUCUUAAGGAACAUUGAAAAGUCAGUUUCCAAAAAUGGAAGAGUCACAUCAUAUAAUAUCGACGGAGGAGUCGUUAUAAGGUAGGGGCUGGGGCCGGUGGGCGCGGCAACUAUUAGUUGGACAAUUUGAUAUAAUUGUUGACAAUAAUUUCGCUUGGAUUUCACCUAAUCCCAUCUGAGUUGUUUUGUUCAUCCCUAUUAGCUCCAUUCACAUCCAUAGAAAUGUAUAAGUCCUAUAAAUCCAACUGUAAUCUUUUUUCCAGGCACGUGAAUAUAUCACUUUUCACACGUCUUGGAAUCAGAUGCAAAUUUAGGACAUUAGGUUUAAGGGUUUUGAAUCACAACCCUUUUGGAGAUAGAACAUAUUUACAUAUUAAGUGAAUUUUUAAUAUAAUUACAGAGUUUGAACAAAAAUAAUUGUUAGAAUCUGUCCAAUUCGUAACUUCUAUUAUAGUACCGUAUUUCUUGGAUGACAUCUUUCGUUCUAAUAGAGCCCACCAUGUCAAUAUACAACAACAACAACCCAGUAUAAUUUCACUUAGUGGGGUUUGGAGAGGGUAGUAUGUACGCAGACCUUAUCCCUACCCUAGGGUAAAGAGGCUUUUUUCAAAUAGACCCUCGACAUCUUUCCCUCCAAGAACUUUCCACCUUGCUCUUGGGAAGACUCGAACUCACAACCUCUCGGUUGAAAUGUGAUUGUUUAUCACCAUGUGAAUAUGAGUUGAGAAAAUGUCUAAAUCUUGUCUAUCUUUUAUCUGCAUACAUGUAUGAAAAAAAGAUUACUUGCAAGUGUUGAAUUUGCAAACUAUAAAUUGAAGGUAGAUCUAAAACUUAUAAGGCAAUUGGUUUUUAUUUGCAUAUUUCCUCGUAAUGAGCGUCAUUUAUAA